This 208-nucleotide ribosomal RNA is filed under the name uncultured bacterium. Its description in RNAcentral is "partial 16S ribosomal RNA". It matches the Rfam family "Bacterial small subunit ribosomal RNA", at positions 28 to 233 of the family's 1533-position model. The record is from RNAcentral.
GACGAACGCUGGCGGCGUGCCUAACACAUGCAAGUCGAGCGAAUGAAGUUCCUUCGGGAACGGAUUUAGCGGCGGACGGGUGAGUAACACGUGGGCAACCUGCCUCAUAGAGGGGAAUAGCCUUCCGAAAGGGAGAUUAAUACCGCAUAAGAUUGUAGUACCGCAUGGUACAGCAAUUAAAGGAGCAAUCCGCUAUGAGAUGGGCCCG